AGGCGCUGGCGCUGGAGAACGACACCGCGCGUCAGGUGCAGUUGUUUGAAGCCGCCUGCCAGUCGGGAUGGGGCGGUAAACCGGAAGUGCAGACCAUUCGUCGUCUGGUGACCGAAAGUGAAGUGGCGGUGGCGGGGAA
Molecule: ribosomal RNA, 139 nt
Filed under: Escherichia coli P0304777.14
Lineage: Bacteria; Pseudomonadati; Pseudomonadota; Gammaproteobacteria; Enterobacterales; Enterobacteriaceae
Description: partial 16S ribosomal RNA
Source: RNAcentral